AACGAACGCUGGCGGCAGGCCUCAAACAUGCAAGUCUAGGGGGUGUAGCAAUACAUCACCGGCGGACGGGUGCGUAACGCGUGGGAAUAUACCUAUCGAUUCGGAACAACUGAGGGAAACUUCAGCUAAUACCGAAUACGUCCUAACGGAGAAAGAUUUAUCGUCGAUAGAUUAGCCCGCGUUCGAUUAGCUAGUUGGUGGGGUAACGGCCCACCAAGGCGACGAUCGAUAGCUGUUCUGAGAGGAAGAUCAGCCACACUGGGACUGAGACACGGCCCAGACUCCUACGGGAGGCAGCAGUUGGGAAUCUUGGACAAUGGGGGAAACCCUGAUCCAGCCAUGCCGCGUGAGUGAUGAAGGCCUUCGGGUUGUAAAACUCUUUCGCGCACGACGAUAAUGACGGUAGUGCGAGAAGAAGCUCCGGCUAACUUCGUGCCAGCAGCCGCGGUAA
Molecule: ribosomal RNA, 451 nt
Filed under: uncultured bacterium
Lineage: Bacteria
Description: bacterial SSU rRNA
Rfam family: Bacterial small subunit ribosomal RNA
Source: RNAcentral